GACGAACGCUGGCGGCGUGCUUAACACAUGCAAGUCGAACGGAAAGGCCUGCUUUCCCUUGUGGAUUGCGGGUACUCGAGUGGCGAACGGGUGAGUAACACGUGAGUGAUCUGCCCCCAACUUGGGUAUAAGCCUGGGAAACUGGGUCUAAUUCCCGAUAGGACUGCAGGGUGGUGCCUGUGGUGGAAAACGAUUUUCUAGUGGUUGGGGAUGAGCUCGCGGCCUAUCAGCUUGUUGGUGGGGUAAUGGCCUACCAAGGCGGCGACGGGUAGCCGGCCUGAGAGGGUGGACGGCCACAUUGGGACUGAGAUACGGCCCAGACUCCUACGGGAGGCAGCAGUGGGGAAUAUUGCCAAAUGGGCGGAAGCCUGAUGCAGCGACGCCGCGUGGGGGAUGACGGCCUUCGGGUUGUAAACUCCUUUCGACCGCGAGGAAGCCACCUGGUUGGAAGGGUGGUGACGGUAGUGGUAGAAGAAGCACCGGCUAACUACGUG
This 494-nucleotide ribosomal RNA is filed under the name uncultured bacterium. RNAcentral's name for it is "partial 16S ribosomal RNA". It matches the Rfam family "Bacterial small subunit ribosomal RNA", at positions 28 to 507 of the family's 1533-position model. The record is from RNAcentral.